Molecule: non-coding RNA, 1828 nt
Organism: Podarcis lilfordi (Lilford's wall lizard)
Lineage: Eukaryota; Metazoa; Chordata; Lepidosauria; Squamata; Lacertidae
Source: the annotation of a GenBank genome assembly
GUAUGAAUUCUGUAAAGUAAAUCUGCUUUAAAAUCAUUAUAUGAAGUCCCUUUUCCCCCCUCUACCCCAAAGUGUACUCUCUGCAUCACUGUAGCUUUCUCAGAGUUGUAUUCAGUGUUAGUAGACCCAUGGAAAUGGAUAGAAAUUACCAACUUGGCUCCUAUUUUUAGGGGUCAGCUGUAAGAAGAACUUAGCCGGACACAACCUUCAGAAAGCAAGGUAGGUACUGAAACACGUCUGGUUGUUUAAAUGGAUGCAGGGUUAAUUAACAGUGCAUUUUACUUGGAAGCAAAAGCGCAGUUAAAAAGCCAGCAGGCUUGAAAUAUCCUGUGCCAGUGUUCCUUACAGUUCCAUUCUUGUUUUGAUAGCCAGAAUCACUAGCCAGUUCAUCCCACUCACUAAGUAUCUUGUGUGUGUUCAUAUGCAAAUAUAUGUGUGUGUGGACUCGGCUAUAUCAGUAAAAAACCCCAAAAACGUUCUGAGUGCAUUAUAAACAUGCAACACCAGAUGGCGCCAGAGAGCAAAAGAAAUUUCUAUGCAAUUUUUACAUAGCGGUUUUUUUCUUUUGUUAUAACAAUUUAAUUACCCAUGGUUCUCCUGCCCCCCCCCCUUUGUAGAUUCAUUCUGUGUGUUUGUGUGUUUGGUUGGCAUCCAUCUGUCUGGAGAGACAAUGGCAUGAGCCUCUGGGGGUGAAGUCAAAGCGCUGUGUUAGCAGCAACCAUCAUGCAGAUAACUAUUAUUUGGGCAGGGACCCGAAUACAACUUAAACUAGAAAGGUCUGUACUACAUUUUCACCCUUUCCAGGAUAGCUUGUAACAUUCCCCCCCCCCCCAAAAGAAAGGUUGGCGAGUGGGAGUUGUUCCAUGGCACACAAUUUUACUCCUGUAAGUUGCUAUCCCAGACCAAACCGCAGGCAAAGCAGCCUUUUGCUACGAAUGCAGUUGUGGACUUGAGCAUGCAAGCUACCUUCAUUUAAGAGAAUCAUUCUGUACCAAGAAAUGCAUGCAUGGGGUGAAUCAGUCUUUGGUAGUGGUGCGGCGGAUAGGACACAGAAACUGUGGGAGAAAGUUAGCAGAGAUGGAGAACUAAUUGACUGAAGAAGUGGAGGAAAUGACUUGAACAGAGGCGUUCAGAUGAGGGGAGAGGUGGAUGUAAGGGAAACACAAAGUUACAGCAGAAAUGGUACUGCUAGAUCUGUGAAUUCAGAUGGUGCUCCUCUGGUGUUCAGCUUUGGCCCUCAGACACUAUGUACGGGGCUGAGAGGAAGCUCUCAGCUUUUGUGGCUCCUGAUUUUCCAAAUGUGUUGUUUGCACCUCCUUUCUCAUAUCUCGAGAACUUGAAUCUUGUACUUUACCUCGUUUAGAAGCCACACUGAAGCCCAGUUGUUAUUCUCUCAAUAGAAAACAAAGUCGGAGGGGCUGAGUCCGAUCCUGAGGCGAAGAGAUGUUUUUUCCUUUGGCGAGGGGAGCUCUGGGCUUCGCGGCUCGUGGCGUGCAGCGUACUGCGGCAAGACAAGUUCACAGCAAACAUGGGCCUGAUUUUCAUGGCAAAUAUGGCAACUUGAUUUUGCUUGGUGGGGCUCUGUUUUGUGUCUCCAUUUGGAGCUAUGUUGUGACACAAACAGGGAUAGAAUGGAAUUUGUCUCCGGUUGGUCGAAUUACCCCAAAAGAAUGGAGAGAGGAGUAGAGAUGCUGGGUUAAACCCUCUGCUGAAAAGUUGGGAGCAGCCAUGGGUUUGCUGGAGCUUUUAUUGGAAUAUACUAAUACUAUGCCUGUAGAGGGCACAAUUAUCUGUGAUUUAAUAAAUGCAUUUAAACAUUAAAGAAAGA